CCCAUACUAUAUUGUCUUAUAAUCAACAACAACCAUAUGUCAUAAUGGGAUCUUAUUUAGCUAUAAAUAAGAUCCCAUUAUGACAUAUGGUUGUUGUUGAUUAUAAGACAAUAUAGUAUGGG
Non-coding RNA from Paramuricea clavata, 122 nucleotides. The record is from the annotation of a GenBank genome assembly. Lineage: Eukaryota; Metazoa; Cnidaria; Anthozoa; Malacalcyonacea; Plexauridae.